UGGGGAAUAUUGCACAAUGGGGGAAACCCUGAUGCAGCGACGCCGCGUGAGUGAUGACGGUCUUCGGAUUGUAAAGCUCUGUCUUCAGGGACGAUAAUGACGGUACCUGAGGAGGAAGCCCCGGCUAACUACCUGCCAUCACCCGCGGUAAUACCUAUGUGGCAAGCGUUGUCCGGAUUUACUGGGCGUAAAGGGAGCGUACGUGGAUAUUUAAGUGGGAUGUGAAAUACUCGGGCUUAACCUGGGUGCUGCAUUCCAAACUGGAUAUCUAGAGUGCAGGAGAGGAAAGUACAAUUCCUACUGUACCGGUGAAAUGCGUAGAGAUUACGAAGAAUACCCCUGGCGAAGGCGACUUUCUGGACUGUAACUGACACUGAGGCUCCAAAGCGUGGGGAGCAAACCGGAUUAUAUACCCUGGUAAUCCACGCCAUAAACCAUGAAUACUAAGUGUAAGGGUUGUCAUAACCUCUGUGCUGCCGCUAACUCACUACGUAUUCCUCCCGGGGAGUACGGUCGCAAGAUUAAUGCUCACACGAAUGGACGG
This 544-nucleotide ribosomal RNA is filed under the name Clostridium sp. enrichment culture clone M13C2. RNAcentral's name for it is "bacterial SSU rRNA". It matches the Rfam family "Bacterial small subunit ribosomal RNA", at positions 355 to 916 of the family's 1533-position model. Lineage: Bacteria; Bacillati; Bacillota; Clostridia; Eubacteriales; Clostridiaceae. The record is from RNAcentral.